Molecule: ribosomal RNA, 522 nt
Filed under: uncultured bacterium
Lineage: Bacteria
Description: partial 16S ribosomal RNA
Rfam family: Bacterial small subunit ribosomal RNA
Source: RNAcentral
UGGGGAAUUUUGGACAAUGGGCGAAAGCCUGAUCCAGCAAUGCCGCGUGUGUGAAGAAGGCCCUCGGGUUGUAAAGCACUUUGUCCGGAAAGAAAUCCUUGGCUCUAAUACAGUCGGGGGAUGACGGUACCGGAAGAAUAAGCACCGGCUAACUACGUGCCAGCAGCCGCGGUAAUACGUAGGGUGCAAGCGUUAAUCGGAAUUACUGGGCGUAAAGCGUGCGCAGGCGGUUUGCUAAGACCGAUGUGAAAUCCCCGGGCUCAACCUGGGAACUGCAUUGGUGACUGGCAGGCUAGAGUAUGGCAGAGGGGGGUAGAAUUCCACGUGUAGCAGUGAAAUGCGUAGAGAUGUGGAGGAAUACCGAUGGCGAAGGCAGCCCCCUGGGCCAAUACUGACGCUCAUGCACGAAAGCGUGGGGAGCAAACAGGAUUAGAUACCCUGGUAGUCCACGCCCUAAAACGAUGUCAACUAGUUGUUGGGGGAUUCAUUUCCUUAGUAACGUAGCUAACGCGUGAAGUUGCA